RNAcentral lists this long non-coding RNA (316 nucleotides) under Physcomitrium patens. RNAcentral's name for it is "long non-coding RNA (PPAT_LNC008504)". The record is from RNAcentral. Lineage: Eukaryota; Viridiplantae; Streptophyta; Bryopsida; Funariales; Funariaceae.
ACGCGCUGCAGAGACUCGGAAAAGUGAACAUGCUUCACUAAAUGAUGUUGCUCAUGGUCUUCUCCACUAUCCUCCACUUUGACAUCGUUUGAUUCUGGUCUUUCAACAUCUGCUAGGACUUGAGGCUCCAGAAGGGGCUUCUGAACUUCAUUUCCAUCGUUUGAUUCUGGACUUUCAACAUCUGCCUCGACUUGAGGCUCCAGAAGGGGCUUCCGAACUUCAUUUCCACCCUCUAAAUCUACAUUAGAAAAAGGCGAAUCCCCCUUGAAAGGCAUUCUGUAAGAGAAAUUGACUUCAGCCUGUUCUUGACGUCUGU